GCCCGGUUAGCUCAAUCGGUAGAGCGUGAGACUCUUAUGAGUGACACGUUCUGAUGUUGCGAUAUCUCAAGGUUGCGGGUUCGACCCCCGCAUCGGGCU
Transfer RNA from Trichoderma virens Gv29-8, 99 nucleotides. It matches the Rfam family "tRNA". Rfam says of the family: Transfer RNA (tRNA) molecules are approximately 80 nucleotides in length. Their secondary structure includes four short double-helical elements and three loops (D, anti-codon, and T loops). NCBI's taxonomy places the organism in Eukaryota, Fungi, Ascomycota, Sordariomycetes, Hypocreales, Hypocreaceae. The record is from Rfam.